RNAcentral lists this ribosomal RNA (613 nucleotides) under crenarchaeote SCGC AAA003-G11. RNAcentral describes it as "SSU rRNA". It matches the Rfam family "Archaeal small subunit ribosomal RNA", at positions 357 to 971 of the family's 1478-position model. Lineage: Archaea; Thermoproteati; Thermoproteota. The record is from RNAcentral.
GUGCGAAAGCACGACAAGGUUAAUCCGAGUGAUUUCUGCUAAAGAAAUCUUUUGCCAGUCAUAAAACCACUAGUGAAUAAGGGGUGGGCAAGUUCUGGUGUCAGCCGCCGCGGUAAAACCAGCACCUCAAGUGGUCAGGAGGAUUAUUGGGCCUAAAGCAUCCGUAGCCGGCUCUGUAAGUUUUCGGUUAAAUCCAUGUGCUCAACGCAUGGGCUGCCGAAAAUACUGCAUAGCUAGGGAGUGGGAGAGGUAGACGGUACUCGGUAGGAAGGGGUAAAAUCCUUUGAUCUAUCGAUGACCACCUGUGGCGAAGGCGGUCUACCAGAACACGUUCGACGGUGAGGGAUGAAAGCUGGGGGAGCAAACCGGAUUAGAUACCCGGGUAGUCCCAGCUGUAAACGAUGCAGACUCGAUGAUGCAUUGGCAUAUAGCCAGUGCAGUGUCGCAGGGAAGCCGUUAAGUCUGCCGCCUGGGAAGUACGUACGCAAGUAUGAAACUUAAAGGAAUUGGCGGGGGAGCACCACAAGGGGUGAAGCCUGCGGUUCAAUUGGAGUCAACGCCAGAAAUCUUACCCGGAGAGACAGCAGAAUGAAGGUCAAGCUGAAGACUUUAC